This 468-nucleotide ribosomal RNA is filed under the name uncultured bacterium. RNAcentral describes it as "partial 16S ribosomal RNA". It matches the Rfam family "Bacterial small subunit ribosomal RNA", at positions 28 to 507 of the family's 1533-position model. The record is from RNAcentral.
GACGAACGCUGGCGGCGUGCUUAACACAUGCAAGUCGAACGGAAAGGCCCUGCUUUUGUGGGGUGCUCGAGUGGCGAAAGGGUGAGUAACACGUGAGUAACCUGCCCUUGACUUUGGGAUAACUUCAGGAAACUGGGGCUAAUACCGGAUAGGAGCUCCUGCUGCAUGGUGGGGGUUGGAAAGUUUCGGCGGUUGGGGAUGGACUCGCGGCUUAUCAGCUUGUUGGUGGGGUAGUGGCUUACCAUGGCUUUGACGGGUAGCCGGCCUGAGAGGGUGACCGGCCACAUUGGAACUGAGAUACGGCCCAGACUCCUACGGGAGGCAGCAGUGGGGAAUAUUGCACAAUGGGCGGAAGCCUGAUGCAGCAACGCCGCGUGCGGGAUGACGGCCUUCGGGUUGUAAACCGCUUUCGCCUGUGACGAAGCGUGAGUGACGGUAAUGGGUAAAGAAGCACCGGCUAACUACGUG